GCCCAUGUAGCUUAGUGGCAGAGCACUUUCUUGGUAAGGAAGAGGUCAGCGGUUCAAUUCCGCUUAUGGGCUCCA
This 75-nucleotide transfer RNA is filed under the name Helicobacter sp. RNAcentral's name for it is "tRNA-Thr". It matches the Rfam family "tRNA". From Rfam's summary of the family: Transfer RNA (tRNA) molecules are approximately 80 nucleotides in length. Their secondary structure includes four short double-helical elements and three loops (D, anti-codon, and T loops). The record is from RNAcentral. RNAcentral also lists the same sequence under 1 other name. Lineage: Bacteria; Pseudomonadati; Campylobacterota; Epsilonproteobacteria; Campylobacterales; Helicobacteraceae.